Molecule: non-coding RNA, 1037 nt
Organism: Paramuricea clavata
Lineage: Eukaryota; Metazoa; Cnidaria; Anthozoa; Malacalcyonacea; Plexauridae
Source: the annotation of a GenBank genome assembly
GUAUUAACGGUAUGUUUAUUCGCUUAUGUGAACACAAUAUAAAAUCCCUAAAACCCAUCCGUCAAAAGUCACAAAAUCCCAUACUUCAAAAUAUGGUUAAUUAACUAUAACAUCUCCCUCAACCAACUAUAACUGUUCCGACCUAAAUGUCAUAGUCCUGAUUUUCGUCUCGUACUUUCGGGGACAGUCCCGUGUGAUCCGAGUUUGCUAGCAUUUUGUAGGUCAUCAUUCUUGUCUCCUGUGUCCUGAUCGCUGUUACCGUUUGCGUUUCCGCCUCGUUAACCGUUCUGUUCUUAAUCUUCUGAAUAAAACGCCUCCCUCGUGAUCGUCCACGUCCCGUCGAUCUGCCAGGCAGUUAUCAUCGAACCAUUUACACCAUUGAUUCGCAACAGUGUGGGGUUGAAACACCAGUAAAUAAAACUUGUCAUAUGAAAACGUGUCAUAUAAAAUUUGUUGCACAUACACACGUGCACUUGGCAAAUAAAACUUGUCACAUAAAAACUUGUCAUAGAAAACUUGCUCGUCUGUAACCGGCUUUAGAGCGUAGAGAAGUUUACUUGUUUUGGUGCAGUGUAAUCAACGUGCGCAUUCCAGGUAAGGUCCGAUGAUAUUAUCACUCCCAGAAUUAGUUUGAAGGUCUGUACGAUUUCUAUGUUUAAACCAGAUGAAGAGAGGGCAUCGAAUUCCAUAGGGACUCUAAGGAAGGAUAUACGCAUUUCUUUGGUUUUAAUUAGAUACAUUAAACCGCAUGUUGUUGUGAUUGGUCCAGUCAUUUAUAGUGUUUAUAUUAGCUUGAAGCGAUGAGUUGGGGGACGAUCUUGGAACUAUUUCAUCAUUAACACGCCUCUCAGUUAACCUUUCUCUGAAAUUAGGAGAAGUUCCAGCAAUAUGGAAACAGGCAAACGUCAGUCCGGUUCCCAAGGUUGGCGACAUGCAUUGCGCUGAAAAUUAUAGACCGAUUUCCUUGUUAUGAAUGGUUUCGAAGGUGUUGGAAAAAUGUAUUUACAACCGCUGUUAUGACCACAUUUCUGGAAUGG